UGCAUGAAGAACAGCAAUGAAAGCAGCGAGGAUGAAGCUGUAAAAGAUGAUCCUGUUCAUUGUGUCUGUGCUGGGCUGUUAAACUCACAGGCAGUGGUUAUGAGUUCUUCGUAAAGAAGACUUGAUUGAAUUGAGAAUAGUACCUACUACAGAUGGAAUGGCAUAUAUAUAUUCUUGUUGGGAAAGUAUCAACGACUGGGAAGGAUUUGACACCCUGGCGAACAAUGAGAGCUGUUCACUGAUGGACUCACUACAAACAUCAACACAAUGGUUCUCUGGCUCUAUAUCUGGUCACUGGCAACCGCUGGAAACACGUAGUUUCUCGAUAUAGAUACAAGUUGUGUGGAUUAAAACCUUUAAAACAGUCGCCCAGAUAAAAUCGG
Molecule: long non-coding RNA, 383 nt
Organism: Callorhinchus milii (elephant shark)
Lineage: Eukaryota; Metazoa; Chordata; Chondrichthyes; Chimaeriformes; Callorhinchidae
Exons: 3
Source: RefSeq, a predicted model, not a curated record